RNAcentral lists this long non-coding RNA (1545 nucleotides) under Athene cunicularia (burrowing owl). RNAcentral's name for it is "lncRNA (ENSACUG00000000051.1)". The record is from RNAcentral. Lineage: Eukaryota; Metazoa; Chordata; Aves; Strigiformes; Strigidae.
GCCACAUUCAAGGAAACUGCUCAGCCUGGGUUCUUCACUUGAGGAAAAAUACUGUGGGCUCCUUGCACUGGUGCUCUGUGUUUUGCCCUCCAAAAGGCACAGGAGGAGUGCAGCAUUGCCAGGUGACUUGUAGAGGUGCCCUCCCCAGCUUUGUGCUGCAGCCUCUUAAUUGUUCCUUUCAUUUGGCAACCGGUAGGAUAUAGAAGAUUCCACUUCUAAAACGGGGAGCUGCAGCGUGGAAAGAAAUAGAUUUCUCUUUUUAGAGGUAAGCUGCUAAGUUUUCCUACCAUCUGUACAAAAUUUUGGUCUCCACAAGGAGAUUAUCUGCUGCAAGUCUUUUCCAUCCAUAUCAUCUAUUCCUGCUCUCGUCACAGCUUCCCGAGUCAGCUUUGUCACUUCCCACAAAAGCUGCUCCACUUGGGCUGCUCCAGUCUCUGAAAGCCCAAUUUCCUUCUUGGUGCCUGAAAUUGCUUUGCUACAUGGUGGAAACAGCUGGGACUGAUUCAUCAAAAAAAACCCAACCGGCGCUCAAAACGUUCAGCUAAAAUGAUGAUUAAUUAGUCAUCUGCUUGGAUAGAUAAAACAUAAGAAGAAAACAAGAACCUAUGAUUUCUUCCAUGAUUUAAAACAGUAAUCAGAGAAAAAACAACAGGACCAUGUGAAGAAGGGAAGCCAACUAUGGAAUACUCAUUAGGGAACAUUUUCAUAGCAGUCUUAAAUUUUCAAGUGGUUUUAGGCCUCUUGAAAUUAUGAAGAACUUCUCUGUAGCCCUUCAGUGUUUGGUUCUCAGCUGGUGAAAAUACAGAAGGUGAGUGAUCUUUGCCUAAUGUGUUACAUGAAAGGAGCUCAAGCACAGCACGAAAGGAGCAAAAUAGUAGAAAUUUGUGCCAGUAUUCAGGAAAAGAGAAAGAUGCUGAGAUUUUGAUACUGAAAAUGGAAAAAAAAAAAUUAUUUCUAGAAGGGAAUUGCAGUUUGGUCAUCUAAGGCCUCAUAACUCAAACACGGAUAACCAGAGAGCAGGCAAAGUACCUUGAGGAAAGGCAGAGUUUACGCCAGACAGCUGGUUAACGUCAGGACCCAGGGGGUUUAUCUGCAGGCCCAGAAGGAGCACGAAAACUUCAUGGUGCUGCACUGGCAGAGGAGGGUGGCAUUCCGGCUGGAGCAGGCCUUCCCUUGGGCCCUGCUCUGCCUACCAAAGCCUCAGUCAUGGCCUGGAGCACACGGACACCAUUUAAAGUCUUUACUGGGAUGACAAACUGCAGAAAUACUGGCAAAGUGUAAAACUGAGAGGUUAAAAAAAAAACCCCGACGAGGCUGUAAUGAGCUAGCUCAACUCAUCAAGUCUGUGCCCGGGCACAGCUUCCUAAUAAUAGAGACACAUCAAGCCCUGCCUGCUGGGAACUGAACCGAGGAUGCCAAAGAGGAGUCAGAUGGUGACAACUCGGCUGUUACACGCGCAGGAGGUUUUCAAAACAGCACCCUAAAGGUAAAAAAACAAAACAGUUUGUAAGAGCAGUAGCACUAAGAAAGGGUGUUUAAUUCAAG